Molecule: unclassified non-coding RNA, 391 nt
Filed under: soil metagenome
Description: partial contains 5.8S ribosomal RNA, internal transcribed spacer 2, and large subunit ribosomal RNA
Rfam family: 5.8S ribosomal RNA (bases 1-122)
Source: RNAcentral
GAUGAAGAACGCAGCGAAAUGCGAUACUUGGUGUGAAUUGCAGAAUCCAGUGAACCAUCGAGUCUUUGAACGCAAGUUGCGCCCGAAGCCAUUAGGCCGAGGGCACGCCUGCCUGGGCGUCACACGUCGUUGCCCCCCCAUCUACUCCUUCGGGAUUGCGGGGGGCGGAUGAUGGCCUCUCGUGCGCCUCGUCGCGCGGUUGGCCUAAAUGCCAAGUCCUCGGCGACGCACGCCACGACAAUCGGUGGUUGCGAAACCUCGGUUGCCUGUCGUGUGCGGUCGUCGCGCAUCGAGGGCUCGAAAAAAUUGCCGGGCUUCGGCUCGACUUUCAACGCGACCCCAGGUCAGGCGGGGUUACCCGCUGAGUUUAAGCAUAUCAAUAAGCGGAGGA